UACAGGUGCUGCAUGGCUGUCGUCAGCUCGUGUCGUGAGAUGUUCGGUUAAGUCCGCUAACGAGCGCAACCCUCGUCGUGUGUUAUACGUGUCACACGAUACUGCCGGUAUCAAGCCGGAGGAAGGUGGGGAUGAUGUCAAGUCAGCAUGGCCUUUAUAUCCUGGGCUACACACACGCUACAAUGGCAGAUACAAUAGGUUGCGAAACCGCGAGGUGGAGCCAAUCCUCAAAGUCUGUCUCAGUUCAGAUUGUAGGCUGCAACUCGCCUGCAUGAAGUUGGAGUUGCUAGUAAACGCAGGUCAGCUAUACUGCGUUGAAUACGUUCCCGGGGUUU
This 335-nucleotide ribosomal RNA is filed under the name uncultured Leptolinea sp. RNAcentral's name for it is "bacterial SSU rRNA". It matches the Rfam family "Bacterial small subunit ribosomal RNA", at positions 1033 to 1382 of the family's 1533-position model. Lineage: Bacteria; Bacillati; Chloroflexota; Anaerolineae; Anaerolineales; Anaerolineaceae. The record is from RNAcentral.